Callithrix jacchus (white-tufted-ear marmoset) is the source of this 1548-nucleotide long non-coding RNA. NCBI's taxonomy places the organism in Eukaryota, Metazoa, Chordata, Mammalia, Primates, Cebidae. The record is from Ensembl.
AGAGAGUUGAGUCAGGAUAUAUUUGACAUUAAAAUAUUAAUCUAGGCUGCAAAGCCCCAUGCAGUGGUUUCUGAGAAUCCAUGAAUCCCCUGACACUGAAGCAGUGAAGCAUAUGUGUUGUGUGUGUUUUUCAGUAGGAGACCAUCAUCUCAAUAGAUUUUCAAGAUUUACAAUUCACCGGGCCCACGGUGCGACCGCUCUCCCACCCCCUCUCCGCCACCCCUCCACCCCACGCCCCCACCCCCGCGACUGGGGUCCGCACGGGAGGGGGCGGGGCAAACUGUCCCCAGUGCGCCCCGGGCGGGUAACGCCAUGGGGCCUGGGGGGUUGGUUUCUCUCAGGCCACACGCGCGUCCCCCGAAGAGGGGACGGCGGAGCGAGCGCACGGGGUUGGCGGCGAUGUCGGCUACCCACCCGACCUGUCUUGAAACACGGACCAAGGAGUCUAACAGGCAGUAAAGAGAAACCAGGCCACACCUUGGAAACUGCUCAGAAAUCAACUCAGGAUGUGUGCCCAGGAGGACUGCGUGAAAGCUCUUUUUUUGCAUAUUGCCUGAACCGUGGGGAUAUGAAGUCCACAGACUUGGCAUCUUGAGAUGUGGAACCAUCCAGCUCUACAGUCCUUCAGAAAGAUCCUAGGGUCCUCAAGAACAAAGUAUACAGCCAGGUCCAGAUUUAAAAGCAGAGACUACGUAAAAGGAAUUCAUCCAGUUCAUCAACUAUGAGAUAUUUAUUACUUAUUUGUGUACCAUGAGUUAAACACCGCUGUAGGUAACAAAGCUAAUAAGACCCAUGAAAUGGUUUGGGGACUGAAGUGAUCUUGCUAAGUGCUUCUUUUCUUUCUUGUUCUUUCUUCUGCUUCUCCUUUUAACUCACGGUGGCCUGAGUAUGCAGGUUUGACACAGUGUGAAUUUGUUCCACUGUCCAUCAUCCAAGUUUGUUCUGUUUCAUGGUCUCAAAAUGCAACAAGCUUUUCGAGACUUGGCUUUGGACCAGAAGAGACAACAAAGGAUUCUCUAACCUGGAAUAAAUGUAUGCUAGAAAACCAUGCAGAGGUUACCAGGCACUAGGAUUUUUGUUUUGUUUUGAUUUUAUCAAAGGUAAGGAUUGAGCUUCGGAGGAAUUUCAAAAAAGAUAAAGACCUUAGAAUAUGUGGUCCUGACUCCACACUGCUGCAUUUCCCUUGGGACUCUAUUACCACCCCCUUUAUUCCCCUGAGAAAGAGUCCUCUUUAAAAGUCUGGAUAAACUCAGACGAAACCUUUAAUAAAGGUGGGUUGGCAAAUGCUAUUUCAGAACAAUAUGAAAAUAAGUAAAAGUAUGAGAAAUAGCUCUGAAGCUCAUCAGUUAUAGCACUUCUGAUUUGUGGGAUCCUGGAAAAGUCAUUUAUACUCUUUUAAAUUCUUUCUUCUCUUCUGGAAAAUAAGGUUAGUACUUAUCUUGGGCCAGGUAUGGUAGCUUAUGCCUGUAAUUCCAGUGCUUUGAAAGUCCUAGGUGGAAGGAUCACCUGAGGCCAGGAGUCUGAAACCAACCUAGACUACAUAGUAAG